This 462-nucleotide ribosomal RNA is filed under the name uncultured bacterium. RNAcentral describes it as "partial 16S ribosomal RNA". It matches the Rfam family "Bacterial small subunit ribosomal RNA", at positions 28 to 507 of the family's 1533-position model. The record is from RNAcentral.
GACGAACGCUGGCGGCGUGCUUAACACAUGCAAGUCGAGCGGAAAGGCCCUUCGGGGUACUCGAGCGGCGAACGGGUGAGUAACACGUGAGUAACCUGCCCCAGACUUUGGGAUAACCCUCGGAAACGGGGGCUAAUACCGGAUACGACACAGCUUCGCAUGGGGUCUGUGUGGAAAGUUUUUCGGUUUGGGAUGGGCUCGCGGCCUAUCAGCUUGUUGGUGGGGUGAUGGCCUACCAAGGCGACGACGGGUAGCCGGCCUGAGAGGGCGACCGGCCACACCGGGACUGGAACACCGCCCAGACUCCUACGGGAGGCAGCAGUGGGGAAUAUUGCACAAUGGGCGGAAGCCUGAUGCAGCGACGCCGCGUGAGGGAUGACGGCCUUCGGGUUGUAAACCUCUUUCAGCAGGGACGAAGCGUAAGUGACGGUACCUGCAGAAGAAGCGCCGGCCAACUACGUG